Molecule: non-coding RNA, 854 nt
Filed under: Staurois latopalmatus (Sabah splash frog)
Lineage: Eukaryota; Metazoa; Chordata; Amphibia; Anura; Ranidae
Description: partial 12S rRNA
Rfam family: Bacterial small subunit ribosomal RNA
Source: RNAcentral
UCAGCUGUUUCCCGACUUACACAUGCAAGUCUCAGCACCCCUGUGAGAACGCCCUUCAAACCUGCUACAGGCGAAGGAGCUGGCAUCAGGCGCAGAAAUUCUUGCCCAAGACGCCUAGUUCUACCACACCCCCACGGGUAUUCAGCAGUGAUUAACUUUAAGUAUGAGCGCCAGCUUGACUUAGUUAGGGAGAAGAGAGCCGGCCAAUCCGGUGCCAGCCGCCGCGGUCACACCGUUAGACUCAAGUUGAUAUUUAACGGCGUAAAGAGUGAAUAAAGUUCCGAUCAGUUAGGGUCAAAUCUAAGCCAAGUUGUUAUAAGCUUGCUACUAGAGAAGUCCAAAAACGAAAGUUACCCUAAUCACACUUGAUGCACGACAGCUGGGGUACAAACUGGGAUUAGAUACCCCACUAUGCCCAGCCGUAAACUAUUAACUUACACCAAAAAACGCCAGGGGACUACGAGCAAAGCUUAAAACCCAAAGGACUUGACGGUGUCCUAUCCAGCUAGAGGAGCCUGUCCUAUAAUCGAUAAUCCCCGCUAUACCUCACCAUUUCUUGCUUAUCAGCCUGUAUACCGCCGUCGAAAGCUGACCGUAUGAACGUCCAAAGUCAGCUAAAUGGCCACCCGCCAAUACGUCAGGUCAAGGUGCAGCUUAUGAAAUGGGAAGAGAUGGGCUACAAUUUCUAGUAUAGAACAUACGGAUUGUUAGGUGAAACCCUAACAUGAAGGAGGAUUUAGUAGUAAAAAGAAAAUAGAGUGUUCUUUUGAAUUAGGCCCUGGGACGCGUACACACCGCCCGUCACCCCCCUCGAUAGCAUCUCUUAACAGUACAUAACACAAUAUUCGCGCCUU